This 197-nucleotide unclassified non-coding RNA is filed under the name plant metagenome. RNAcentral's name for it is "partial contains small subunit ribosomal RNA, internal transcribed spacer 1, and 5.8S ribosomal RNA". The stretch from base 1 to 55 matches the Rfam family "Eukaryotic small subunit ribosomal RNA", at positions 1778 to 1831 of the family's 1831-position model. The record is from RNAcentral.
GGAAGUAAAAGUCGGUAACAAGGUUUCCGUAGGUGAACCUGCGGAAGGAUCAUUACAAAAUGUUAUGGGAUGUCCUAACGGGCACCCAAGCAAACACAUCCAUAUUAAACUUUUGAAACAAUCACUAGUCUGAUAAGGCCAUAUGCUGUAAAAAUUUAAAUAUAUUAAAACUUUCAACAACGGAUCUCUUGGCUCUC